CCGAGCUGAUCAGUACAAUGAUUCUGCAAAGGUGUUUCUUUUCGAUUUCCAAUGGAAAGGAAGAACAUGGUGCAUUGAUGCAUCUGAAGAAGACUCCUCCCUUGGGAGACUCGUUAAUGAUGAUCACUAAAGACUCAAUCUCAAAAUGAAGGCCAUACAAGCAAACGAUGAGCCACACUUGUGCCUCUUCGCGACUCGAGAUAUUGCAGCUGGCGAAGAGUUGACUUAUAGUUACGGUGAUUCAGACUGGCCAUGGAGAACACAGGUCAUCAAAACUGAAUUGUCGUCCAGCCCAAAACCUAUGGUAAGAACUUUACUAAAGUCAUAGAUCAAUAUGAGUUUAUUUUUUUCUAUUAUCACAUUUACUAUUUCACUUUCACAAAUACACAUUUAUAGUCUAACAUC
Long non-coding RNA from Salvelinus namaycush (lake trout), 405 nucleotides. RefSeq lists it as uncharacterized. Lineage: Eukaryota; Metazoa; Chordata; Actinopteri; Salmoniformes; Salmonidae. The record is from RefSeq and is a predicted model, not a curated record. The transcript is spliced from 3 exons.